CUUACCUUAGUUUAAUUUAGAAUGAGGAUUUUGGGAAUUCUUGGUCUUUAAUUAGAGGUUUGG
RNAcentral lists this transfer RNA (63 nucleotides) under Paruterina candelabraria. RNAcentral's name for it is "tRNA-Pro". Lineage: Eukaryota; Metazoa; Platyhelminthes; Cestoda; Cyclophyllidea; Paruterinidae. The record is from RNAcentral.